Molecule: ribosomal RNA, 456 nt
Filed under: uncultured bacterium
Lineage: Bacteria
Description: bacterial SSU rRNA
Rfam family: Bacterial small subunit ribosomal RNA
Source: RNAcentral
UACGGAAGGCAGCAGUGGGGAAUAUUGCACAAUGGGCGAAAGCCUGAUGCAGCUAUGCCGCGUGUAUGAAGAAGGCCUUAGGGUUGUAAAGUACUUUCAUCGGGGAGGAAAAAACAAAACUAAUAAUUUUAUUUCUUGACGUUACCCGAAAAAGAAGCACCGGCUAACUCCGUGCCAGCAGCCGCGGUAAUACGGAGGGUGCUAGCGUUAAUCAGAAUUACUGGGCGUAAAGAGCACGUAGGUGGUUUUUUAAGUCAGAUGUGAAAUCCCUGGGCUUAACCUGGAACUGCAUUUUGAAACUGAAAUACUAGAGUAUCGUAGAGGGAGGUAGAAUUCUAGGUGUAGCGGUGAAAUGCGUAGAUAUCUGGAGGAAUACCUGUGGCGAAAGCGGCCUCUAAACGAAUACUGACACUGAGGUGCGAAAAGCGUGGGGAGCGAAAACAGGGAUUAGAUACC